GCAGCGAACCAGACAUGUGUCUGGUUGUACGCGCUGGCGAGGAACCGAGCAAGCGAGCACAAGUUCCCAGUCUCCCUCCCCAUCCCCCAAUUCCCAAACCUAGCGGCCGGCGCCGCGGCGGCGGGUGGCGCGUGGGCGGAGGGUGGCGCGUGGGUGGCGGCGAAUCCAGGUCCGGCCGGCCCUCUCCUUCCCUCCCCUCUGCAGUACUGCCCUUCCGGCCUCGGCUUCCGGGCUCGGGUAGUCCAGCUCCGUCCCUCCCCUGCCCGAACUUCAUCUGGUCCGCCUCCGGUUUCCUCCGCCUCCGAGAUCCGGCCGGCCUCCAGUGCUCCCUCGACGGCUCCACUGCUGACCGUCUCCUUCCCGAACUGCAUCUGGUCCGCCUCUGAUGAAGAAGAAAGAUGUUAGCUUGUUUGAAUUGUGGGGCAAAUCUUCAAAGGCAAGGAAAAUAAGUUCUACAUCCACAUCAACUCCUCUUUCCGUUGAGGUUGAGAGCAACCUGCAGCUAGCACUAGUGCAUACACAUGACGAAGCUCCGCAACCGGAGAGGGAGAGAGGCUCCCGUCCCCAAUUGUAGAAGAUGAUGAAGCGGUUGAUGAAGAUGAGGAACCAAGUCCCCAAUUUGAAGCAGAUUUGAAGGCUCUGGAACGUGUUCCUGGCAAGCGACUUGCCAUAUCUUCAUAUCAUGUCAAUGACCAGGAUGUAGUUAGAAGGAGAUACAUUGACUUGGGAGCUUGUCAACCAAAGAGUCACAAAUUUGAGAUCAGAGAUUUUAGUGGACAUCCCCGCCGCUUUUGCCCAUCUUGGUUUAAGGAUCAUAUGUGGCUUGAGUACAGUGUGAAAGAAGAGGCUGCUUUCUGCUUUGUUUGCUUUUUGUUCAAGGAUAAAACAAAAAGUCCCGGAGGAGAUGCAUUUGUGAAUGGUGGGUUUAAUAAUUGGAACAUGAAAUCAAGAUUGAAGAGGCAUAUUGGUACUGUCAGUAGUGCUCACGCUGAAGCUCAAGAAAAAUAUGAUAUGUUCACUACGCCUACAACAUCAAUUAUUGAGUCUAUUGCUUCAAACACCACACAAUACAAGGCUUUGUAUAAAUAGUGUUUGACAUGAACACUCAAGUGUGUGAGAUUUCUGUUGCGCCAAGGCUUGGCAUUUAGGGGGCAUGAUGAAAGUGAAGCAGAGUCGCUAAAUAAAGGAAAUUUCCUUGAGCUUCUAAAUUGGCUAGCAGGAAAUUUUGAAGAGGUUGUCAUGGUUGUUCUCAAGAAUGCUCCACGGAACUGCAAGAUGACUCACCAUGACAUACAACUAGAGGUGAUAAAAUGUUGUGCACAAGAGACUACUAAACUAGUCAUUGAAGAACUUGAUGGUGGUCAUUUUGCAAUACUUGUAGAUGAGUCUAGUGAUGUGUAUCAGAAUGAACAGUUGGCUGUUUGCUUGCAUUAUGUUGAUAAGAAAGGAAGGUUGGUUGUAAGAUUUCUUGGUCUUGCUCAUGUUUAAGAUACCACCUCUUUGACACUAAAAGCUGCAAUUCAGAAAAUGCUUAUGGACUACAAUUUGACCAUUGCAAUGGUUCGUGGGCAAGGAUAUGAUGGAGCUAGUAAUAUGAGAGGUAAUGCUAAUGGCCUGAAAAAACUGAUUAUGGAUGAGUCCCCUUCUGCCUACUAUAUUCAUUAGUUUGCCCAUCAAUUACAAUUAACUCUUGUUGUUGUUGCUAAGGAGAGUGACUGUACUUGGUUCUUUCAGCAGCUUGCACACUUGUUAAAUGCUCUUGGCAUGUCUUGUAAAAAGACGAGAAUGCUUCGAAUAGCUCAGGCUGAAGAACUCAUUGAUGCACUGGAAUUGGAAGAAGUAGAAACAGGGAGUGGGUUGAAUCAGGAAAUGGGUUUGGGAAGGCCAUGUGAUACAUGUUGGGGCUCUCACUUCAAAACUAUGAACCAUGCCAUCUCUAUGUAUGGUGCACUACGACAAGUCCUUCGCAAGAUUGGAGACGAGUACCAUUGUGCGGAGGCACAAGCGGCUCUAUCCAUAGAGACAAUAUUUCGAUCAUUUGAGUUUGUUUUCAUGGCACACUUGAUGCAAGAAAUAUUUGGAUACACAGAUGAGUUGUGUAGAGCUUUGCAAAAGCAAGAUGAAGAUAUUGUACAUGCUAUUGAGCUUGUUAGUGACACAAAGUAUUACUUGGAGGCUUUGAGGACCGAUGCUGGAUAGGAUGAUUUUCUCACAAAGGUCACAUCUUUUUGUACAAAGCAUAAAAUCAAAGUUGUUGAUAUGGUGGGUCCUUACUUUCCCGUUGGCCGGCCUAGAAGGGUUUUAUGUAAUGGUGUGAUCAAUUACCACCACUUCAAGGUUGAUAUGUUUGUGGGUGUCAUUGAUAGGCAAAUCAGUGAGCUGAAUGGCAGGUUUGAUGAGGUAAACACGGAGCUACUUUCUUGCAUGGCAGCAUUUUGUCCACUUCAUCUAUUUGCUGCUUAUGACCAAGAGAAGUUGGUUAGGCUUGCUACAAAGUUUUAUGCUUCCAAUUUUACAAGUGAUGAACUGACAAGACUUCCAUGGCAACUAAACAUGUAUGUUACUAAUGUGCGUAGAGAUGAAAGGUUUCAAAACCUGAAAAAUCUAUGCCAGCUUUCAGUUAUGCUUGUUGAGAAAAACAAGCAUGAACAAUAUCAUAUUGUUUACAAGCUUCUUAA
Non-coding RNA from Aegilops tauschii subsp. strangulata, 2678 nucleotides. The record is from RefSeq and is a predicted model, not a curated record. NCBI's taxonomy places the organism in Eukaryota, Viridiplantae, Streptophyta, Magnoliopsida, Poales, Poaceae.